CCUCACUCUCGGCCGUACACUCUCUCUCCCCGACCUCACUCUCUCGUCCUCUCCCUCUGCCAUCGCCGGAACCACAUCGUCCGGCCACCGCCUCACAUCACCGCUACCACCAAUCGAAGCAGCACCUCAAUCCAACCUAAACCCAUAAGAGAUCGAAGCCAUGCAUCGACCCGGCCUCUCUCUUCCGCUAUCCUUCUCUCUGCCACCAUCGGAGACUCCAUCUCCGGCCACCAUCUCCCCACACCGUCUUCACCAAUCGACGCAGCAUCCAAAACCAACCCAAGCCCGAGCCUUAACGUCGAAAUACAUCGCCGGCAGCCUCUACCCGUGACCACCCAAGGCUGCGACACUGCUGCCACUCAACCUCCAUCAAUUUCUGGCCGCCUUUUCAAUACACCGUAGCCUCCUGUGAGCUCAGGGAGCGCCGACCAUCAAGCCCCCGACAUCCCAUCGCCAGAAGACAUCGAACACACAUCGCCGGAAACCGAGCUCUGCAUGCCUUCGUUCUCUAAUCUCCAACGCGAAUCGUGCUAAACCACCUCCAUGGUUGGAAUCAGCGUCUCACGUUUUCCAAAAGUCCAAACACCCGACCUCCGAUUCCGACCAGAGCCGCCACACGCGCCGCCGGCGCCGGCGCGUGAGAAACCUUGAUGCCGCCGUGAACUCUGCCGGCGUAGUC
RNAcentral lists this long non-coding RNA (679 nucleotides) under Rosa chinensis. RNAcentral describes it as "sRNA RchiOBHm_Chr3g0474531". Lineage: Eukaryota; Viridiplantae; Streptophyta; Magnoliopsida; Rosales; Rosaceae. The record is from RNAcentral.